AGAGCAUCACUUGAACCCAGGAGGGGGAGGUUGCAGUGAGCUGAGAUUGUACCACUGCACUCCAGCCUGGGUGACAGAG
RNAcentral lists this small nuclear RNA (79 nucleotides) under Homo sapiens (human). Its description in RNAcentral is "partial ncRNA". The record is from RNAcentral. Lineage: Eukaryota; Metazoa; Chordata; Mammalia; Primates; Hominidae.